CACAAAUGAAGCGACCUUGACUACCUUUACCUGCAGUGCAAGCAUACUUAUAAUGUUGUCGUUGCAUUGGAAAACAAAUGGCCUGAGAAUAAUCCCCAUCAUUCACCAUGAGAUCUCCCAUCAAACAACCAAUAACAUCACUAGCUGUUGCUAUGGGGACAGCCCCUCGGAUAAUGACCACUUCCAUCGCAGGCGAGAUAAGUGUAUGCAGGGGAGUCCACCAAGCCUGAUUGUGGCCAUCCAGUAGACUAGAGGGAGCCUAUGAUAUUCAAGAAGGACUCAGUGGCACCAGUGGCACCAGACAGAAUAAAAUUAAGAUGCAUACAAUUUAUUAAUUUUAGUUUUGUGCAUGUAUACAUAAUUAUGUAUGUGACUCGUGAAUUCCAUUCGUACACAUACUGUCUGCCUAUCAUAUUUCAUGCUGAGACAUAACAUGAAAACGGCUCUGUUUUGUGUUUAGUUCUGAUUAUGGAAUGUCAGUGUGGGAAUGAGUCGAUGUACUGUACCCACAAACCAAACAAUUCUUGAGAUUGGCUUCAAUUAAC
Halichondria panicea is the source of this 545-nucleotide long non-coding RNA. RefSeq lists it as uncharacterized. The record is from RefSeq and is a predicted model, not a curated record. Lineage: Eukaryota; Metazoa; Porifera; Demospongiae; Suberitida; Halichondriidae. The transcript is spliced from 3 exons.